GUGGCAAGCGUUAUCCGGAAUUAUUGGGCGUAAAGCGCGCGUAGGCGGUUUUUUAAGUCUGAUGUGAAAGCCCACGGCUCAACCGUGGAGGGUCAUUGGAAACUGGAAAACUUGAGUGCAGAAGAGGAAAGUGGAACUCCAUGUGUAGCGGUGAAAUGCGCAGAGAUAUGGAGGAACACCAGUGGCGAAGGCGACUUUCUGGUCUGUAACUGACGCUGAUGUGCGAAAGCGUGGGGAUCA
Molecule: ribosomal RNA, 240 nt
Filed under: uncultured Staphylococcus sp.
Lineage: Bacteria; Bacillati; Bacillota; Bacilli; Caryophanales; Staphylococcaceae
Description: partial 16S ribosomal RNA
Rfam family: Bacterial small subunit ribosomal RNA
Source: RNAcentral